UGUUACCUUGUUACGACUUCACCCCAGUCAUUAGCCCCACCUUCGGCGUCCUCCUCCACAAGGGUUGGAGUGACGACUUCGGGCAUGGCCAACUUCCAUGGUGUGACGGGCGGUGUGUACAAGGCCCGGGAACGUAUUCACCGCAGUAUGCUGACCUGCGAUUACUAGCGAUUCCUACUUCACGUAGGCGAGUUGCAGCCUACGAUCUGAACUGAGCCACGGUUUAUGGGAUUUGCUAGCUCUCGCGAGUUUGCUGCCCUUUGUCCGUAGCAUUGUAGUACGUGUGUAGCCCAGGGUGUAAGGGGCAUGAUGACUUGACGUCAUCCACACCUUCCUCCGGUUUAUCACCGGCGGUCUUUCUAGAGUGCCCAACUAAAUGCUGGCAACUAAAAACGUGGGUUGCGCUCGUUGCGGGACUUAACCCAACAUCUCACGACACGAGCUGACGACAGCCAUGCACCACCUGUCACUGCAUUCCCG
This 480-nucleotide ribosomal RNA is filed under the name uncultured cyanobacterium. RNAcentral's name for it is "partial 16S ribosomal RNA". Lineage: Bacteria; Bacillati; Cyanobacteriota. The record is from RNAcentral.